AUUGAACGCUGGCGGCAGGCCUAACACAUGCAAGUCGAACGGGUAUCUUCGGAUACUAGUGGCAGACGGGUGAGUAACACGUGGGAACGUACCUUUCGGUUCGGAAUAAUACAGGGAAACUUGUACUAAUACCGGAUAAGCCCUUCGGGGGAAAGAUUUAUCGCCGAUAGAUCGGCCCGCGUCUGAUUAGCUAGUUGGUG
This 200-nucleotide ribosomal RNA is filed under the name uncultured bacterium. Its description in RNAcentral is "partial 16S ribosomal RNA". It matches the Rfam family "Bacterial small subunit ribosomal RNA", at positions 30 to 254 of the family's 1533-position model. The record is from RNAcentral.